This 468-nucleotide ribosomal RNA is filed under the name uncultured bacterium. RNAcentral describes it as "partial 16S ribosomal RNA". It matches the Rfam family "Bacterial small subunit ribosomal RNA", at positions 28 to 507 of the family's 1533-position model. The record is from RNAcentral.
GACGAACGCUGGCGGCGUGCUUAACACAUGCAAGUCGAACGGAAAGGCCCUGCUUUUGUGGGGUGCUCGAGUGGCGAACGGGUGAGUAACACGUGAGUAACAUGCCCUUGACUGUGGGAUAACUUCAGGAAACUGGGGCUAAUACCGGAUAGGAGCUCCUGCUGCAUGGUGGGGGUUGGAAAGUUUCGGCGGUUGGGGAUGGACUCGCGGCUUAUCAGCUUGUUGGUGGGGUAGGGGCUUACCAAGGCUUUGACGGGUAGCCGGCCUGAGAGGGUGACCGGCCACAUUGGGACUGAGAUACGGCCCAGUCUCCUACGGGAGGCAGCAGUGGGGAAUAUUGCACAAUGGGCGGAAGCCUGAUGCAGCAACGCCGCGUGCGGGAUGACGGCCUUCGGGUUGUAAACCGCUUUCGCCUGUGACGAAGCGUGAGUGACGGUAAUGGGUAAAGAAGCACCGGCUAACUACGUG